CACGUCUAACUCGCUUCGCAUGGUUGCUCCAACAUUGCUACCGGCGAGCGUGAUAAUUCUAAAUCCAUGAUCAUCAGCAUCAUCAUCAUUGUCAGCACGCUGGUCAAGAUCAUCAUCAUAGCGGCUUGAACCUCGGUCUGCAAGGCGACGAGUGAGCGCAGAGAUCAUGUCUCUAAUUUCACAAUCAAGCAGCUGUUUUUGCUAAUCUCCCUCUGUCAUUGUUUGAAAUUGGUAAUGCUAGAGCAGUGGGGGGUUUGGGGGUUACAUUUAAAGACACCUGCUGGCUUAUGGGAAUUGAUUAAAGGUAGC
RNAcentral lists this long non-coding RNA (309 nucleotides) under Panax ginseng (ginseng). RNAcentral describes it as "long non-coding RNA (PGIN_LNC014446)". The record is from RNAcentral. Lineage: Eukaryota; Viridiplantae; Streptophyta; Magnoliopsida; Apiales; Araliaceae.